This 245-nucleotide long non-coding RNA is filed under the name Danio rerio (zebrafish). RNAcentral describes it as "si:ch73-4e5.1 (ENSDARG00000097891.3)". The record is from RNAcentral. Lineage: Eukaryota; Metazoa; Chordata; Actinopteri; Cypriniformes; Danionidae.
GAAGGGCAGCGUGCCAGAGGCUGGAGAUGGUAGCAGGAAUGCUAAUGGAGCCAUAACCACCACUAAUACCUUUAACAGCAUCCUGGCAGAGCUCCUCAAGCCAGGCCUCUUAAUCUCAGUUCUGGAAGCUGGCUUAUUUCCUUGACCCACCACCCUUCCUCUUUGUCGUCACUUGAGUAGCUGAUGUGCGGCCGGAGCCCUCCCCACUCAUAUCAUCAAAAAGGAAGCUGGUGAAAAAUGAAACG